UUUAGCUUUGAAAGUCACAGCAGCAUAUCUGGAAGCGAGAGGAUUUCAUUUUAGGCUAUGAGGGUUUGGUUUAGAUCUAGUUAAUAUUGUGUCAGAUGAUUCUGGACUUUUCUCCCCAUCAUAUUUCCUACUGAGCCAUGCUUACUCAUGUGUUCAAUGGCACACAUUCUAGGGCCAGCUAAACAUAACCCAGAUUCCUGUACAUAACACCAUUGAACUCCUCCUUGUUGCAAAAGAAUUGCAAUUAGGUUCUUUGGUUUUCUAGUCUGCCCUCUUACCUUUUAUUUCACUUGUAUUAAGUUGAUUAUCUAUAUUUUCUCUUCCUUUUUCCUCUAGCCAAUCUUUUCCUUUGGUGCAGUACAGUAUGUAAUGUAACUUUCUCUGGAUGUAUGUAUGUUUACUUUUAGAAAUGUACAAAUGUACGUUGGGGGACAAAGAUGUAGGAGACUUAUUUUUCUCUACAUGCAUACAUUUUUCAUCAUAUGAAUGAAUUUUUCAUCAUAUGAAUGUGUUAUCUCUUCUAA
Long non-coding RNA from Pipistrellus kuhlii (Kuhl's pipistrelle), 524 nucleotides. RefSeq lists it as uncharacterized. The transcript has 2 exons. The record is from RefSeq and is a predicted model, not a curated record. Lineage: Eukaryota; Metazoa; Chordata; Mammalia; Chiroptera; Vespertilionidae.